AACGAACGCUGGCGGCAUGCCUAACACAUGCAAGUCGAACGAAGCCUUCGGGCUUAGUGGCGCACGGGUGCGUAACGCGUGGGAAUCUGCCCUUGGGUUCGGAAUAACAGUUAGAAAUGACUGCUAAUACCGAAUGAUGUCUUCGGACCAAAGAUUUAUCGCCCAAGGAUGAGCCCGCGUCGGAUUAGCUAGUUGGUGAGGUAAAGGCUCACCAAGGCGACGAUCCGUAGCUGGUCUGAGAGGAUGAUCAGCCACACUGGGACUGAGACACGGCCCAGACUCCUACGGAGGCAGCAGUGGGGAAUAUUGGACAAUGGGCGAAAGCCUGAUCCAGCAAUGCCGCGCGAGUGAUGAAGGCCUUAGGGUUGUAAAGCUCUUUUACCCGGGAUGAUAAUGACAGUACCGGGAGAAUAAGCCCCGGCUAACUCCGUGCCAGCAGCCGCGGUAAU
Molecule: ribosomal RNA, 449 nt
Filed under: uncultured bacterium
Lineage: Bacteria
Description: bacterial SSU rRNA
Rfam family: Bacterial small subunit ribosomal RNA
Source: RNAcentral